GAGUUUGAUCUUGGCUCAGAGUGAACGCUGGCGGUAGGCCUAACACAUGCAAGUCGAACGGCAGCACAGUAAGAGCUUGCUCUUAUGGGUGGCGAGUGGCGGACGGGUGAGGAAUACAUCGGAAUCUACUUUUUCGUGGGGGAUAACGUAGGGAAACUUACGCUAAUACCGCAUACGACCUACGGGUGAAAGCAGGGGAUCUUCGGACCUUGCGCGAUUGAAUGAGCCGAUGUCGGAUUAGCUAGUUGGCGGGGUAAGGCCCACCAAGGCGACGAUCCGUAGCUGGUCUGAGAGGAUGAUCAGCCACACUGGAACUGAGACACGGUCCAGACUCCUGCGGGAGGCAGCAGUGGGGAAUAUUGGACAAUGGGCGCAAGCCUGAUCCAGCCAUACCGCGUGGGUGAAGAAGGCCUCGGUU
This 418-nucleotide ribosomal RNA is filed under the name uncultured microorganism. RNAcentral's name for it is "bacterial SSU rRNA". It matches the Rfam family "Bacterial small subunit ribosomal RNA", at positions 9 to 424 of the family's 1533-position model. The record is from RNAcentral.